RNAcentral lists this ribosomal RNA (253 nucleotides) under uncultured bacterium. RNAcentral describes it as "partial 16S ribosomal RNA". It matches the Rfam family "Bacterial small subunit ribosomal RNA", at positions 524 to 776 of the family's 1533-position model. The record is from RNAcentral.
UACAGAGGGGGCAAGCGUUGUUCGGAAUUACUGGGCGUAAAGGGCGCGUAGGCGGCCCGCUAAGUCGAACGUGAAAUCCCUGGGCUCAACCCAGGAACUGCGUCCGAUACUGGCAGGCUUGAAUCCGGGAGAGGGAUGCGGAAUUCCAGGUGUAGCGGUGAAAUGCGCAGAUAUCGGGAGGAACACCAGUGGCGAAGGCGGCACUCUGGGCCGGAACUGACGCUGAGGAGCGAAAGCGUGGGGAGCGAACAGG